Molecule: long non-coding RNA, 1985 nt
Filed under: Equus asinus (donkey)
Lineage: Eukaryota; Metazoa; Chordata; Mammalia; Perissodactyla; Equidae
Description: lncRNA (ENSEASG00005026294.1)
Source: RNAcentral
UAUACCCAGACGGCCAACUGGGAACCAACUGGGAACUUCAUUUGGCCUGGUGAGCACUCCCCCCUCCCAGAGGCGGUUAUCUAGCUGCAAGAAGACGCUUUGAUAAAGGUGCUAGCUGUGGCUAGACCUGCAGAGGAUCACAAUUAGAUUUUGACAGGAUGAGGAGAAAGAUAACAGCAACGAUUGUGCUUCCUGUUUUUUUAAAAAAAGAAAGAAGUACCCAAGAUAGCUAGAGACAUGUGACAGUGGAUCUCUACCGUGACUCCUUUUCUGAAUAUAAAAUCCAGUUUUCUUAUCGAGCCAAUUCCAAAGGUUCCCCUGUGACCAAAAUCUCUGGAAUUUAACCGCUCCAUGCCUGUGGACCUUGCUCGGCAUAACUUUUCCAACCGAGAGAUGCCUGGUACCACACUGAAUUGAGGGCAGGUGGAGUGUCUCUCCUCAUCCCGUGUCUGGGUCGUGAGAGUGUUUGGGGACUGAGACAGCCGCCCUGUGUCACCUCCACUGAACCAGACCAUUCAGGAUGGAGCCGACCACAGGCCGGCCUAGUGGACUGGGCAGUUUGACAGACACCACACCUUACUCUGAACCAUCUCGUCUAACCCUCAGGCCUCUCACAGCCUGCAGCCCUCUGUGCUCUCCGCCUGACCUACCCCCAGGCUUUCAUCCCUCCUGCCUUUGCCCACCAUGUUCACUCUACUGGAAACGUGCUUCUUCCUUCAAUCUUGAAUAUCUGCCAUCUUUCCAGACCCAACUGGAGCCUGACCUUCUUGCUCCUUCCCUAGUGCCCCAGGGCAGCGUGAGGCACUCGCUCCAACGUUUGACGUUCCUUCUCCCGGGGCACUCAGUGCACGGCCCCCUCUUACGUACGGGCACACAGCGUUUCUCCCAAGAGCAUCAGUCUCUGGGGAGCUGGAGAUGUGCUUCAUGGAUUUUUGUAAUUUCUGGUGUAUGGGAAGCCCUUCAUAAAUGUGGAAUGAAUGCAUAACUGCCUGAAUAAGUAAUGACACCAGUCUCACAUUGCUAACUAAAGUUACUCUUCUACUGCAUCAUAGAAAGACUCUAGAGCUCAUUUUUCCCAAUCUAGUUCUACUUCUUACUAGCUGUGUGGCCUUGGAUAAGUUACUUAACCUCUCUGUCCCUCAGUUUCUUCAUCAUUAAAAUGCAGAUAAUAAUAGAACGAUAUCUCUAUUUCACAGGGUGGCCUUGUCUAACAAAUGUUAGCAUAGAUAAGGUACUUAGAACAGUGCCUGGCAUACAGGAGCCUGAUCUACAGUCGCUGUCACCCCCGUUAUCAUCAGAGAGGACGAACAGACCCAGAGUGGUUGUCUGAGUUACCCAAGACCCAAGCUCCUCUUGCAGGUAACUGUGAAGCUGUGUAAUCUUGGGGAGAUCCAUUCCCCUUUCCCUAUUAUCAGCAGGACUUCGCUGAAGACCAUUUUAGCAACACUUCUGGAUGCCGUUUCAAUGGGGUGCAGAGACAGCAUUUACUUCGUGCUCUCAAAGCUUUGUCUAAAUCCAACACUAUCCUCUUUUCCCAUGGACUUCAUCUCACUUCAGAGACUCUUCAUUUCUGCUGGCUUUCUAGCUCCUCGGGAGUGCCUCCUGAUAUGUUGGUUCUGAAUUUCUGUCACCCCCUAGCCACCCUCCAAUUUCUGACAAAUCUAAUAACAUUUGCUGAGCCAGAACAGCCAGAUCAGCUGAACUGCGCCUGGUGGUCAUUGGAACCACAGAUACUGCAGCUAGAUGGCGCUCACAUCCACACAUUUCUGAGGAAUUAGGCCGUGAAAGAUGUUUUCCAUUAGUACCCAAACUUAAAAAGCUUACAGUCUUGGGGGAAGGGAGAGCAAUAUACUCAGGCACAUGAAAUAACUGAAAAGAAAUUGUAAUAGACGCAUUUUCCAAAUAAAACUCGCCUAUAAUGAGUACUGCAUGUCAGAUGCUGUUUCAAGCCCCGAACUCUUCUCCCAGCACCCCUAAGAGACAGG